UACAGAGGUCUCAAGCGUUGUUCGGAUUCAUUGGGCGUAAAGGGUGCGUAGGCGGCGCGGUAAGUCGGGUGUGAAAUCUUGGAGCUUAACCCGGGAACUGCGUCCGAUACUGGAAGGCUUGAAUCCGGGAGAGGGAUGCGGAAUUCCAGGUGUAGCGGUGAAAUGCGUAGAUAUCUGGAGGAACACCGGUGGCGAAGGCGGCAUCCUGGACCGGCAUUGACGCUGAGGCGCGAAAGCCAGGGGAGCAAACGGG
RNAcentral lists this ribosomal RNA (253 nucleotides) under uncultured bacterium. RNAcentral describes it as "partial 16S ribosomal RNA". It matches the Rfam family "Bacterial small subunit ribosomal RNA", at positions 524 to 776 of the family's 1533-position model. The record is from RNAcentral.